This is a transfer RNA of Camelus ferus (Wild Bactrian camel), 72 nucleotides long. It matches the Rfam family "tRNA". From Rfam's summary of the family: Transfer RNA (tRNA) molecules are approximately 80 nucleotides in length. The record is from Rfam. Lineage: Eukaryota; Metazoa; Chordata; Mammalia; Artiodactyla; Camelidae.
GAGGGUAUAACUCAGUGGUAGAGCAUGUGCUUAGCAUUCAUAAGGUCCUAGGCUCCAUCCCCAGUACCUCCA